This 863-nucleotide ribosomal RNA is filed under the name Verticillium dahliae. RNAcentral's name for it is "LSU rRNA". It matches the Rfam family "Eukaryotic large subunit ribosomal RNA", at positions 75 to 963 of the family's 3401-position model. Lineage: Eukaryota; Fungi; Ascomycota; Sordariomycetes; Glomerellales; Plectosphaerellaceae. The record is from RNAcentral.
UUGCCUUAGUAACGGCGAGUGAAGCGGCAACAGCUCAAAUUUGAAAUCUGGCUCCUUCGGGGUCCGAGUUGUAAUUUGCAGAGGAUGCUUCGAGUUAUGGUUCCUUCCGAGUUCCCUGGAACGGGACGCCAUAGAGGGUGAGAGCCCCGUCUGGUAGGAAACCAUGCUCAUGUGAAGCUCCCUCGACGAGUCGAGUAGUUUGGGAAUGCUGCUCUAAGGGGAGGUAUACUCCUUCCAAGGCUAAAUACCGGCUAGAGACCGAUAGCGCACAAGUAGAGUGAUCGAAAGAUGAAAAGUACUUUGAAAAGAGAGUCAAACAGCACGUGAAAUUGUUAAAAGGGAAGCGCUCGCUACCAGACGUGGGUUCGGUGGUUCAACCAGGUCCAUGACCUGGGGCACUCCGCCGGCCCAGGCCAGCAUCAGCUUUCCGUCGGGGGCAAAGGCGUCGGGAAUGUGGCUCUCCUUCGGGGGAGUGUUAUAGCCCGUCGCGUCAUACCCUUCGGGGGGCUGAGGUACGCGCUCCGCAAGGAUGCUGGCGUAAUGGUAGCUAGUGACCCGUCUUGAAACACGGACCAAGGAGUCAACCUUAUGUGCGAGUGCCCGGGCGUAAAACCCCAGCGCGGAAUGAAAGUGAACGUAGGUGAGAGCUUCGGCGCAUCACCGACCGAUCCUGAUGUCCUCGGACGGAUUUGAGUGAGAGCAUAUAGGGUUGGACCCGAAAGAAGAUGAACUAUGCGUGUGUAGGGUGAAGCCAGAGGAAACUCUGGUGGAGGCUCGCAGCGGGUUCUGACGUGCAAAUCGAUCGUCAAACAUGCGCAUGGGGGCGAAGACUAAUCGAAUCUUCUGGUAGCUGGUUUCGCGAG